RNAcentral lists this ribosomal RNA (497 nucleotides) under uncultured bacterium. Its description in RNAcentral is "partial 16S ribosomal RNA". It matches the Rfam family "Bacterial small subunit ribosomal RNA", at positions 28 to 507 of the family's 1533-position model. The record is from RNAcentral.
GAUGAACGCUGGCGGCGUGCCUAAUACAUGCAAGUCGAGCGAACAGAUAAGGAGCUUGCUCCUUUGACGUUAGCGGCGGACGGGUGAGUAACACGUGGGUAACCUACCUAUAAGACUGGGAUAGCUUCGGGAAACCGGAGCUAAUACCGGAUAACAUUUGGAACCGCAUGGUUCUAAAGUGAAAGAUGGUUUUGCUAUCACUUAUAGAUGGACCCGCGCCGUAUUAGCUAGUUGGUAAGGUAACGGCUUACCAAGGCGACGAUACGUAGCCGACCUGAGAGGGUGAUCGGCCACACUGGAACUGAGACACGGUCCAGACUCCUACGGGAGGCAGCAGUAGGGAAUCUUCCGCAAUGGGCGAAAGCCUGACGGAGCAACGCCGCGUGAGUGAUGAAGGGUUUCGGCUCGUAAAACUCUGUUAUUAGGGAAGAACAAAUGUGUAAGUAACUGUGCACGUCUUGACGGUACCUAAUCAGAAAGCCACGGCUAACUACGUG